RNAcentral lists this unclassified non-coding RNA (373 nucleotides) under uncultured bacterium. RNAcentral's name for it is "contains 16S-23S intergenic spacer region". The record is from RNAcentral.
UCCGGUUUGUCACCGGCAGUCUCAUUAGAGUGCCCUUUCGUAGCAACUAAUGACAAGGGUUGCGCUCGUUGCGGGACUUAACCCAACAUCUCACGACACGAGCUGACGACGGCCAUGCAGCACCUGAACCGGAAGUCCCCGAAGGGAAAACCUCAUCUCUGAGGCGGUCCUCCGUUGUCUAGCCCAGGUAAGGUUCUUCGCGUUGCGUCGAAUUGAACCACAUGCUCCACCGCUUGUGCGGGCCCCCGUCAAUUCCUUUGAGUUUUAACCUUGCGGCCGUACUCCCCAGGCGGAACACUUAAUGCGUUAGCUACGGCACGGAUUCCGUGGAAGGAACCCACACCUAGCGCCCACCGUUUACGGCGUGGACUAC